GCUUGUCUCAAAGAUUAAGCCAUGCAUGUCUAAGUAUAAACAAAUCUAUACUGUGAAACUGCGAAUGGCUCAUUAUAUCAGUUAUAGUUUAUUUGAUGGUUCUUACUACUUGGAUAACCGUAGUAAUUCUAGAGCUAAUACAUGCAUCAAGCCCCGACUCACGAAGGGGUGUAUUUAUUAGAUGGAAACCAACUCGGGGUAACCCGGUAUAUGGUGAUUCAUAAUAACUUUCGGAUCGACCUUCGGGUCGAUGCAUCAUUCAAGUUUCUGCCCUAUCAGCUUUGGAUGGUAGGGUAUUGGCCUACCAUGGCUUUAACGGGUAACGGAGAAUUAGGGUUCGAUUCCGGAGAGGGAGCCUGAGAAAUGGCUACCACAUCCAAGGAAGGCAGCAGG
RNAcentral lists this ribosomal RNA (393 nucleotides) under uncultured Chrysophyceae. RNAcentral describes it as "partial small subunit ribosomal RNA". It matches the Rfam family "Eukaryotic small subunit ribosomal RNA", at positions 30 to 432 of the family's 1831-position model. The record is from RNAcentral. Lineage: Eukaryota; Chrysophyceae.